Molecule: long non-coding RNA, 454 nt
Organism: Syngnathoides biaculeatus (alligator pipefish)
Lineage: Eukaryota; Metazoa; Chordata; Actinopteri; Syngnathiformes; Syngnathidae
Exons: 3
Source: RefSeq, a predicted model, not a curated record
CGGGACAUGAAGCUCAACGUACUGGCAGCGGCCAGUUGUCAACGGGGUCAUAUAAAUACACAGCAUAAUCAGGCUGCAUGAGGUGCAGGUGUGCACCUCCCAAUCAGCGCAACCGCGCGGACACCCACACAGCCCAGGCUGGAGCGGCAGGAUCAUGACACAAGGGCCUCAUUGAACCAUCACAGGCCAGCGGUGAGGGACCGCUUCAAAUUUACAGAGCUCGGUUGUACACAGAGACUUCCCACACUGUUUUCUUAUUCUACAAGCAAGAAUAUCAGGACUGCUGAGGGCCUCAGAGUGCCUACUCCUGCCUUCUGCCUCCACAUCGGGCACGGGCUGCCAGCCGGCCUGCCGACCAACCUCGCUGAACCCCUGCCAAGCUCCUGACGCCAUCCUGGGUGGUCCUGCUUCAUGCGGCUCUGGCAGAGCGCUACGCGGCCGGCCUCCCACCCAC